Molecule: long non-coding RNA, 1129 nt
Filed under: Notechis scutatus (mainland tiger snake)
Lineage: Eukaryota; Metazoa; Chordata; Lepidosauria; Squamata; Elapidae
Description: lncRNA (ENSNSUG00000016625.1)
Source: RNAcentral
CAUAAUGCGUAAUACUAGAUUAUAUUGAAUUAAUGGGCUAAAAUUUUUACAUGCAUUUUGUUAUAAGAGACAAAGAAACACACUUGGUCCUUCUGGUUCUUUUUCAUCAUAGCCCGUUAACUCACAGGUCUCAUUUUCCUGGGCCAAUUGCCAAAGGAAACGUCUGCAAUGAACGUUAGGUCCCUCCUUGCUCUCGAAAAUGUGGGAGUCCUUGUGCGCCGCCUUCUUGCCUGCAACUGCAAAGCUUGAAAAGAAGCGCGUCUUAAGAAGGUUGUUGCGUGGUCCGAUAUCUUUAUUUUCCGCGUUGCUCGACUGCGCUUUCCCUUUGAGCCCGCGGCGCGGAGACAUCAACGUUAUUAGCGCGCAUCUCAAAUCUGGUCUUUAGUAAAACUCCAGUCAGCCCUUAACAUUUAUUGUGAGCGGUCGAAUUAGACUGGAUCCCCGCUUUAAAGCAAAGCCGAAGUAGACGCGGGCUUGAACAACACUUGAUGGACAUUUGUGUUAUCUAUGGGGAGCAGUCUCUACUAAUUAAAAAGAGUGAAGAAGAAGAACACAGAUUAAGACAGUGCACGCUGAAUGUAUUUGCUAAUAAAGGCCUUGAAAUAUGGACAGGGGCUUUUUCCCACGAAGGAAGAGGUUCCCCAGAAGAUGCCAUGAUCAGUGGUUUCAGCAGAACUAUAUACCAAAUGAAAACUUUUGGAUGGAUUCUUGGGACAUGCCACAGAAUCAGUUUCCAAAGAGACCCCCUCCAUGGCGGAACCACCACUAUCCAGACCAAGAGAGGCCCUACAACGUCGGUUUUGAUAAUUACACCCGGGGUUCCUACCAUAGGCGUCCUUACCGUGGUCGUUUUUGUACAAGAUCUAAAAAGACCUUGAAAGGAAGAGGUAAUUUUCAAAACCAAUCAAGUUCUUCCUUCUCAAUCAAUGUGCCGCCAAAGAAAACAUUUGAGAAGGUGAAAGAACAGCCAGAAGAUUCCAAGGAAUUUAAACAGGACAAGGUCAAACCAAAAGAUAGUCAGCCUGACGAAGAAUCUCCUAGCCAGACUGACUCUGUUGUUUCUGCUGAAACUGUUGCAGAAGAAGAAUCACCACCUGGAAUUACAAAAAUCCCUCUUCACACCCAGAAU